GAUGAACGCUGGCGGCGUGCCUAAUACGUGCAAGUCGAGCGAACAGAUAAGGAGCUUGCUCCUUUGACGUUAGCGGCGGACGGGUGAGUAACACGUGGAUAACCUACCUAUAAGACUGGGAUAACUUCGGGAAACCGGAGCUAAUACCGGAUAACAUAUUGAACCGCAUGGUUCAAUAGUGAAAGGCGGCUUUGCUGUCGCUUAUAGAUGGAUCCGCGCCGUAUUAGCUAGUUGGUAAGGUAACGGCUUACCAAGGCAACGAUACGUAGCCGACCUGAGAGGGUGAUCGGCCACACUGGAACUGAGACACGGUCCAGACUCCUACGGGAGGCAGCAGUAGGGAAUCUUCCGCAAUGGGCGAAAGCCUGACGGAGCAACGCCGCGUGAGUGAUGAAGGUCUUCGGAUCGUAAAACUCUGUUAUCAGGGAAGAACAAAUGUGUAAGUAACUGUGCACAUCUUGACGGUACCUGAUCAGAAAGCCACGGCUAACUACGUG
RNAcentral lists this ribosomal RNA (497 nucleotides) under uncultured bacterium. RNAcentral's name for it is "partial 16S ribosomal RNA". It matches the Rfam family "Bacterial small subunit ribosomal RNA", at positions 28 to 507 of the family's 1533-position model. The record is from RNAcentral.